This 524-nucleotide ribosomal RNA is filed under the name Dialister invisus. Its description in RNAcentral is "bacterial SSU rRNA". It matches the Rfam family "Bacterial small subunit ribosomal RNA", at positions 380 to 894 of the family's 1533-position model. The record is from RNAcentral. Lineage: Bacteria; Bacillati; Bacillota; Negativicutes; Veillonellales; Veillonellaceae.
AGCCUGACGGAGCAACGCCGCGUGAGUGAUGACGGCCUUCGGGUUGUAAAACUCCAUGAUCCGGGACGAAAGGGCGGACUGUGAAAAACAGACUGCAUUGACGGUACCGGAAAAGCAAGCCACGGCUAACUACGUGCCAGCAGCCGCGGUAAUACGUAGGUGGCAAGCGUUGUCCGGAAUUAUUGGGCGUAAAGCGCGCGCAGGCGGCUUCCCAAGUCCCUCUUAAAAGUGCGGGGCUUAACCCCGUGAUGGGAAGGAAACUGGGAAGCUGGAGUAUCGGAGAGGAAAGUGGAAUUCCUAGUGUAGCGGUGAAAUGCGUAGAGAUUAGGAAGAACACCGGUGGCGAAGGCGACUUUCUGGACGAAAACUGACGCUGAGGCGCGAAAGCGCGGGGAGCAAACAGGAUUAGAUACCCUGGUAGUCCACGCCGUAAACGAUGGAUACUAGGUGUAGGAGGUAUCGACCCCUUCUGUGCCGGAGUUAACGCAAUAAGUAUCCCGCCCUGGGAAGUACGAUCGCAAGAU